GGGCGCUGGCGGCCGUUUUGCCUCUCUGUGCGACCUUCAAAUACAGCGAAGAAGAAUGUGUGCGCAUGCGCACUUCAUAUUAGUUGAUGUCGACGUCAGCUUCUGUCUGUCAGUGUGGGAGAUGGUGAGGCUCUCUCAUGGAGGCAGUGUGUGAGCAGCUCCAUGGAGGUGGUGGUGGUGGUGAUGAGGAGGAGGAGGAGGAGCAGGCAGGAGCAGAGGAAGCCAUGCUGUGGUCCAUCCAGGAGGCUCUGGAGAGGCAGACCCUGCAGAUAGGAGCGUCAGCCUGCGGGGCCACAGCUGUGGUGGACGUGCUGAAGGCCCUCGGCGUGGACGUGGCCCCUGAGGAAGCAGACCGCUGCGUCCGGACACACCUGAGGAGGAACGAGUCACCGCUGCCGGACUACCUGCUGUCCCGGAGUGAAGCUGGUGCGACUCACGCUCAGCUCAUUGAAGGAGCAGAAGAGGCCAGUCAUGGGAAGGUGACAGGUCGCUUCUUCCACCUCCACCCCCGGCGUCUGGUCAGGCUGGUACCGUGGCUCGCCAGCUGGAUCCGAAAAGGCGCCGUUCCCGUGGCGACCAUGAACAUGCAGCUUGCCGUACCUGAGGGAGAGGAGGUGCCUGACGCCUGGCACCACCAGCUCAUAUUUGGUGUUGCAUCGAAUGCUGUUUUCAUGACCAAUCCUUUAGAUGUAGUGAGCGACCGAGAGUUGCACCAGAGACUCUGCAGCGAAUCGGUGCUGCUGAUUCGUCGAGAAGACGUUCUUCAGCGACUGACGCCGGACUGCAGCCUGUCAAGCUUAUCCGAGCAGCGGUGGAAAGCCCUGGACGUCGAGGGUCAAGUGAGACAGAUGCACCAAGAAGAGGAAGAGGAAGACGAUGGAGCCAAGUUAACACACAUCAGGAUCCCUGCAGCGUACAGUUCAGGCGUCACUUUCUUCGCCCUACGAGAAUCAGAGUUAGGACAAGAACUCCUCAGUGCUCCUGAACUACCUUGUUUGUGA
RNAcentral lists this long non-coding RNA (1001 nucleotides) under Sparus aurata (gilthead seabream). Its description in RNAcentral is "lncRNA (ENSSAUG00010022196.1)". Lineage: Eukaryota; Metazoa; Chordata; Actinopteri; Spariformes; Sparidae. The record is from RNAcentral.